AUCAGGGACAAGUCAGAAACCACAUAAAUAAUUUUAACAAGAAGAAUUUAAUAUAAAAAUUAUUAACUAGUAAAAGAUAGCUGGGGAAGGCUUAUAGACACCCCCCACAAAAAUAUUCAUAUCUGGAACCUGUUAAUGUGUUACUCUCUAUGACAAUAAGGAUGUUGCAGAGAUGAUUAAGUUAAAGAUCUUGAGAAAAUUAUCUUGAUUAUCUAGAUGGGCUCAGUAUAAUCACAAGAGUCAUUAUAAGGAGAAGAUGGAGGCAGGAGAGUCAGUGUCAGAGAAGGAGAUGCAAUAAAAAAAUCAGGGUCAUAGUCAGACAUUUGAAGAUGCUAUGGUUCUGGCUUUGAAGAUGGAAGAUGAGGUCAUGAGCCAUGGAGUGCAGGCAACCUUUAAAAGCUGGAAAAGGCAAAGGAAUGCUCUCCUCUUGAUUCUCCAAAUGGAAUGUAGGCCUGCUAACACAUUGAUUUUAGCCCAGUGAAAUGCAUUUUGGAUUUCUGUCCUACAGAACUAUAAAGUAGUAGAUUUGUGUUACUUUUAAGCCACUAAAUUUGUGGUAGUUUCUUACAGCAACAACAAGAAACAAAUUUAUUAGCUAACCUAACCACUAAUGACGCAAGAGACAAUUCUAAGGACUUUCAAAACAGCAAAGUAGGAGCAGCUGCUACCUCUAGGGAUGAGGGAGAAACUCAAAAAUGCAUACAAAAACCAUUGCAUGAAAAGUGACUGGAUUUGUACAUAGCGUCAGGAGAUGUGCGUAGUGUCAAAGUAUCUCAUCACACAUUACUUGAUAAUUACAAAUGAGAAAAAUGAACCUUCACAGUGGCAAGACUUGACUUCUACCUCUUUCAAAAAGAUGCAAUUGUCCAAUUAUUGGUGAAAUUGUCAUUUCAUGCUAUUGGCUAUUUGAAAUUCCUCCUCUAAUUUCAGAAUAAAUCACUGAAAUUGACAUCGGCCAGUCUGAAUUUCAAGAAAUUACCUGCUGAAGACAAGAGGGAUCUCUUCUUCAGAUUUGCAGUCUGGGGAAGACACAGCCUCUACUGUACUUUAGAACCUGAGAUAUGGUGGUGGAGGGAGCCCUGGGUCGAGUGGUAAGAUUCACCCUUAGGUUAGUAUUGACGUAAGGUGACGAGGAGCUGUAGACAAAAGAUUGUAACCAUAAGAACUUCAUAGUUUUUGUAUUUUCACCGAGCUUAUAUUUGGUGUGUUUUUUGUCUUUUCUUUAUGAUUAUCAAUAAAAUGCUUGAAAGG
Long non-coding RNA from Homo sapiens (human), 1251 nucleotides. Ensembl annotates it as long intergenic non-protein coding RNA 470. NCBI's taxonomy places the organism in Eukaryota, Metazoa, Chordata, Mammalia, Primates, Hominidae. The record is from Ensembl.